Long non-coding RNA from Triticum aestivum (bread wheat), 2063 nucleotides. RefSeq lists it as uncharacterized. Lineage: Eukaryota; Viridiplantae; Streptophyta; Magnoliopsida; Poales; Poaceae. The record is from RefSeq and is a predicted model, not a curated record. The transcript has 3 exons.
UAAUCUCCCACCACCACCACGAUUCAUAUCUGGAGAAGCUUUGUGGAAUCCGUGGUUUUGUCCUUCUCAUACUAUGGUUGCUGGCCUAUGGGGAAUCAGGAUGGACAUUGAGCAAAGUGGCAGAAGCGGGUGGCGGGUGUUGUGGCCGAGGAGCUCCACCACACACCCACAUGUUCGCUUGUUGACCUGGCAGCUCUUCACCGAGGUUUGCUGCUUUGGUUUGGCUGGGAUGUGUGCCUCCAUGGUUGGGUUGUGUGGACUGCUGGCAAGGAUGGAGAAGCAUAGGAAGGUGUCACCAUUGCAUAGAUUCUAUUAUAGCCAUGCUAGCUACUUGGCCAUGUCAUUUUGUUCACACAGGUGUGUCCACAACAACUCUGAUAGUGCCAUGCCGGACACGGUAUCAUUAAACAAGGACUCUUUUGGCGGACUCUUUUAUCACCUGUUUCCUGGCGCUAAGUCUCCAAACAGUUCAGCUUUGCUUCAGUCCUCUCUCGAGGCCAGAGCAGUAACAUGAGAAAAAACAUCGUAUUAGCUUCUGUAUUAACAAGUGUAAUUAUGUAGUACUAUAUUUUGAUCGGUUUUGUUUCCUCUAUACUGCCAAAACAUCAUAAUUAGACUGCAUUACACAACAGCAAGAAUAUUGCCAUACAACUCAGAUUCAUAUAACUUACAGUAUGUUCCAUGAUAAAUGUAUCCAACAGGGGCUGGACAUAUUGUUUUUUGCUUCAUAGUUCAUUUUGAAUGAAAAUAACAAAUGGUUUCUGCCUCCAUGGUUGACUUGUUUUGUCAUUGUUCUCUCCGUACAAAGGCACCAAUACCUAACAUUUAUCCUAAUAGAUUCACGGGUCCAAGAAUAGGGUCAGACCGGACCGGACCUGUUGAAUCUUGAGUGACACAGAUGUCAUGUUGGUGUGAGGUGGGGAUUUUUAGUUUAGAAGAGCUUGAGACCUUGUUACAUUUCAAAGUAGCAGCUCACAAAUGGGCACCCCAUUUGGUCAUCAUGUGGGAUCAUGGGUUUAUCAUACAUGUUUUGUCUAGCACAACUAUCAAAAUCCCCUCACAGUUCGAUUUAGCAUACUAUUUAGACCCUGAUGCUCUUAAACUAACGCAUGCAAAAGCAUUUGAAAUCACACUAUUCAGUACAACAUUUUCUUCAAAAUAUCACUUUUGGAUAUCAAACUUACUUACAGUCCAGGACAAAUGAAAUAUAAAACUUAAUUGCAUCCAUUAGGAAAUAGGAGUCAAUGUAGUUUCUCAUGUACUUUUCUGCACGAGAGGUGGUAAUGGAACAAAUAAAUAUAUCUCCACUGCAAUUCAGAAAUGUUUUUGUGUGUUCAUUUCAUGCCCAGAGUCUUGCAGGUUGUAAGUGUGUCAAUAUAUUUAUGUGGUUCCUUAUGUAUUUGUUUCAUAUCUAUUUCAGGUUUUCCUCUGUGGCCUCAAAUCCAGCUUAUCGUUGGUUCCAUAUUGAAUAAAUGUCUGCAGUCUUAGUUUGCACUCUGUUCUGCAACAUGGAAAUUUGGACUGGUCCACUUCAUCUCGAGCCGCUGGUCCACUGCUUCUCUCGUUUUAUAAAAAGGUAGAUAUUGUUUUUUCCUGGCUCAUUGGUACUUAUAGCCUUAUAGGAGGCUGAUUCUUAAAUUGGCUAAUAAGCAAGGCUUAAAUGUAGAUGAUUGUCCUUUGUCACUCUUUAGUAAUAUAGCUGACUUUUUUUUCAUUUUUUGUUCAUGGCAAAGACGCCUAUGUGUGUGGGCGUGUGUGUUGCCAUCGAAUCAGGAUUAAAAGUUUGGGUCUCCUCUGAUUUAUUUACAUAUGUAUCUUCCACUACCUGAACUUUCCCUGUCCUACAGAGCAUAUACAUGCAUGUGUUGGAAGGCUGAUUAGAGACUGGUCUUUACUACCGGCUGCCGUCUAUCUAAUCAAACAUUUACUUCCUCCACCUAUUCGGAUGCCUAUGCUUGGCUGUUGUAAUUGCAGAUGGAUUUAUGAUGUUGAGCAGAUCACCAUGUUGAAGGCUGAGCAAUUAGAGACGAGUGUUAUUGCCAAAGUAAGGUGAUGAUAAAUAA